AUUGAACGCUGGCGGUAUGCCUUACACAUGCAAGUCGAACGGCAGCACGGUCAUAGCUUUCUCGUAGGGUGGCCGAGGGGCGGGUGGUGGAGGAAUACAUCGGCAUCUACUUUUGCUAGGGGGGCAACGGCGGGAAUCAUACGCUAUUCCACCUUAGGGCCUAAGGGGGGAAGCGAAAGGCCUUCGGCUCUUGCGGCAUCCAAUGAGCGGAUGUCGGAUUAGCUAGUUGGUGGGGUAAAGGCGCACCAAGGCGACGAUCCGUAGCUGGUCUGAGAGGACGACCAGCCACACUGGGACUGAGACACGGCCCAGACUCCUACGGGAGGCAGCAGUGGGGAAUAUUGGACAAUGGGGGCAACCCUGAUCCAGCCAUGCCGCGUGCGGGAAGAAGGCCUUCGGGUUGUAAAGCGCUUUUGUUCGGGAAGAAAACCACUAGGCUAAUACCCCGGUGGUAUGACGGUACCGAAAGAAUAAGCACCGGCUAACUUCGUG
Molecule: ribosomal RNA, 492 nt
Filed under: uncultured bacterium
Lineage: Bacteria
Description: partial 16S ribosomal RNA
Rfam family: Bacterial small subunit ribosomal RNA
Source: RNAcentral